This is a long non-coding RNA of Archocentrus centrarchus (flier cichlid), 1171 nucleotides long. RefSeq lists it as uncharacterized. The record is from RefSeq and is a predicted model, not a curated record. The transcript is spliced from 4 exons. NCBI's taxonomy places the organism in Eukaryota, Metazoa, Chordata, Actinopteri, Cichliformes, Cichlidae.
GUGAGAGAGAGAGAACUGUGAGAGGGUGUAAUGGCGACCACACCACACCGAACCCUGUGCGAUCGCCCGAGCCAUAUAGACUGCGUGAUUCCCCCCUUCUGGAUGUUCUGAGAGCUAAGUGAAUGACAAGAAAAACUGAUUACUCAGACAUCAUUAAAGCUACUGGGUGGCAAGCCGGUAACAGAAGAUCCGUCUCUCCUCAUUCUUCCUGUAUCCUAACCGAUACCUCAUCCUGUGUUUUCAGAGCCUCUGAUUGUCUCAUAGACACAACGAUCACCUACAGAGUUCAAACUGCAGCAGAUGUAAUAAUUACAGUCUGGAUGCAAAGAGCAUCAGAAUAUUUUAAAGUAGAUGAAAAACUAACCAUGAAGAAGAGAGGAGUACACUUGCUGCUGAUGUUCAUCCUGAUUCACCGUCUGCUCAUUAGCAGGACCUUUAUUAAAAAUGGAAAGAAGACAUUUGCUUUCACACGGACCUCAUGAUGCAUUUGUGUAUCUGAAUGAAUGAAGAGUUUGUAGUAAGUAAAGGAAAAGUUCUCACUGUUGGUCGUUCUGCAGCGAUACAACAAGAGCAGGAGAAUAAUGAGGAGAGAGACUCCACAAACCAGUCCAACAAUCAGCCACACAGAGCUGUCAGCUGCUGACACAGUUAGUGUAACAACAAUUAUUAAUAAACUGUAAUUAUAUUGGAUAUUUUCCUUCUGAGUCAUCAAAAUCAUUUCCAAAUAUUCAUCAAAUCUUUGAUCCUGCUCACCUUUAACUAACAUCCAGCUCUGUGGUGACUCUCUUCCUGAGUAUUCACACUUGUAGAAACCUUCAUCAGACUUUGACACUGCAGAGAUCUUCAGCUCCUCUCGGGUAUCACUUUGAAUAAGUUUGUCAUUGUGGUAGAAAAACACAUUGGAAAGUAUUUUUUGUGUCCUCAAACUGCAGCUCAGACUAACAGAAGCUCCUUCAGUCACAGGAUGAACAGGACUCACCAGGAUAGGAGCAUCAGGAUCAUCUGUGACACAAUCAAACACAAUUGUUUCAGUCAGAUCAGCUGGUGCAGACUUUUAGAAAAAGCUGACACACAAUAAUAAGAACAGAUUGAACAAAUGCUUUUCAUCAUGAAUAUCUAAUAUCUGAUCUUGAAUAUUUUUUUCUUGCUUUUAAAUAAUGUUUUUACCUGA